Molecule: ribosomal RNA, 253 nt
Filed under: uncultured bacterium
Lineage: Bacteria
Description: partial 16S ribosomal RNA
Rfam family: Bacterial small subunit ribosomal RNA
Source: RNAcentral
UACGUAGGGUGCGAGCGUUAAUCGGAAUUACUGGGCGUAAAGCGUGCGCAGGCGGCUUUGCAAGACAGAUGUGAAAUCCCCGGGCUUAACCUGGGAACUGCAUUUGUGACUGCAAGGCUAGAGUACGGCAGAGGGGGAUGGAAUUCCGCGUGUAGCAGUGAAAUGCGUAGAUAUGCGGAGGAACACCAAUGGCGAAGGCAAUCCCCUGGGCCUGUACUGACGCUCAUGCACGAAAGCGUGGGGAGCAAACAGG